GUGGGGAAUCUUGCGCAAUGGGCGAAAGCCUGACGCAGCCAUGCCGCGUGAAUGAUGAAGGUCUUAGGAUUGUAAAAUUCUUUCACCGGGGACGAUAAUGACGGUACCCGGAGAAGAAGCUCCGGCUAACUUCGUGCCAGCAGCCGCGGUAAGACGAGGGAUCCUAGCGUUGCUCGGAAUCAUUGGGCGUAAAGAGGGCGUAGGUGGCUUGGUAAGUCAGGUGUGAAAGCCCAGGGCUCAACCCUGGAAGUGCAUUUGAUACUGCUGAGCUUGAGUGUCGGAGAGGUUACCGGAAUACCUGGUGUAGUGGUGAAAUACGUAGAUAUCAGGUGGAACACCGGAGGCGAAGGCGGGUAACUGGACGAACACUGACACUGAGGCCCGAAAGCGUGGGGAUCAAACAGGAUUAGAAACCCCAGUAGUCC
This 425-nucleotide ribosomal RNA is filed under the name uncultured bacterium. RNAcentral describes it as "partial 16S ribosomal RNA". It matches the Rfam family "Bacterial small subunit ribosomal RNA", at positions 354 to 796 of the family's 1533-position model. The record is from RNAcentral.